Molecule: ribosomal RNA, 450 nt
Filed under: uncultured bacterium
Lineage: Bacteria
Description: partial 16S ribosomal RNA
Rfam family: Bacterial small subunit ribosomal RNA
Source: RNAcentral
UUGGGGAAUCUUCCGCAAUGGACGAAAGUCUGACGGAGCAACGCCGCGUGAGUGAUGAAGGUCUUCGGAUUGUAAAGCUCUGUUAAUCGGGACGAAAGAGCCUAGUGUGAAUAAUGCUAGGAAGUGACGGUACCGGAAUAGAAAGCCACGGCUAACUACGUGCCAGCAGCCGCGGUAAUACGUAGGUGGCAAGCGUUGUCCGGAAUUAUUGGGCGUAAAGCGCGCGCAGGCGGAUCUGCCAGUCUGUCUUAAAAGUUCGGGGCUUAACGCCGUGAUGGGAUGGAAACUACAGAUCUAGAGUAUCGGAGAGGAAAGUGGAAUUCCUAGUGUAGCGGUGAAAUGCGUAGAUAUUAGGAAGAACACCAGUGGCGAAGGCGACUUUCUGGACGAUGUCUGACGCUGAGGCGCGAAAGCUAGGGGAGCGAACGGGAUUAGAUACCCCAGUAGUCC